Molecule: ribosomal RNA, 445 nt
Filed under: uncultured bacterium
Lineage: Bacteria
Description: bacterial SSU rRNA
Rfam family: Bacterial small subunit ribosomal RNA
Source: RNAcentral
AACGAACGCUGGCGGCAGGCCUAACACAUGCAAGUCGAACGAGAAGCCGCCCUUCGGGGCGGUGGACAGUGGCGAACGGGUGAGUAACGCGUGGGAACUUACCCCUCGGUACGGGACAACCACGGGAAACUGUGGCUAAUACCGUAUAUUCCCUAAGGGGGAAAGAUUCAUCGCCGAGGGAUGGGCCCGCGUCCGAUUAGCUUGUUGGUGAGGUAACGGCUCACCAAGGCGACGAUCGGUAGCUGGUCUGAGAGGAUGAUCAGCCACACUGGGACUGAGACACGGCCCAGACUCCUACGGGAGGCAGCAGUGGGGAAUAUUGGACAAUGGGCGCAAGCCUGAUCCAGCCAUGCCGCGCGAGUGACGAAGGCCUUAGGGUUGUAAAGCUCUUUUGGCGGGGACGAUAAUGACGGUACCCGCAGAAUAAGCUCCGGCUAACUUCGUG